ACACCCCUCUCUCUCUUCUCUCGAGUGUCCUUCCACCUCAGCAGGGGCUCAGCUCGAGCCCACGAGGCAACAGCCUCGCAGCAGCAACAACAUCUUUAUGUUAGAGGACCAACGUGCAUGUAAGACGAAC
Molecule: long non-coding RNA, 130 nt
Organism: Amblyraja radiata (thorny skate)
Lineage: Eukaryota; Metazoa; Chordata; Chondrichthyes; Rajiformes; Rajidae
Exons: 3
Source: RefSeq, a predicted model, not a curated record